This 481-nucleotide ribosomal RNA is filed under the name uncultured bacterium. RNAcentral describes it as "partial 16S ribosomal RNA". It matches the Rfam family "Bacterial small subunit ribosomal RNA", at positions 28 to 507 of the family's 1533-position model. The record is from RNAcentral.
GAUGAACGCUGGCGGCGUGCCUAACACAUGCAAGUCGAACGGAGAUUACGGACGGAAGUUUUCGGAUGGAAGACUGUAAUUCUUAGUGGCGGACGGGUGAGUAACGCGUGGGCAACCUGCACUAUACAGGGGGAUAGCAGCUGGAAACGGCUGGUAAGACCGAAUAAGUCGGCGAGACCGCAUGAUUUUGCCGGGAAAUGCGCAGUCAGGUAUAGGAUGGGCCCUAGUCCGAUUAGUCAGUAGGGAGGGUAAAAGCCUACCAAAGCAACGAUCGGUAGACGGGCUGAGAGGUCGGGCGGCCACAUUUGGGCUGGGACACAGCCCGGACUCCUACGGGAGGCAGCAGUGGGUGAUAGUGCACAAUGGAGUGAACUCUGAUGCAGCUACGCCGCGUGAGUGAAGAAGUAAUUCGGUAUGUAAAGCGCUAGCAGCAGGGAAGAUGAUGACGGUACCUGACCAAGAAGCCCCGGCUAACUACGUG